GACGUAGGGGGCGAGCGUUAUUCGGAAUUAUUGGGCGUAAAGCGCUCGUAGGCGGGACUGGAAGUCCGUGUUGAAAGACCUCGGCUCAACUGAGGGACCGGCUCGGAUACUCUAGUUCUUGAGGCAAUCAGAGGGUGAUGGAAUUCCCGGUGUAGCGGUGAAAUGCGCAGAUAUCAGGAAGAACACCCGUGGCUAAGGCGGCUCUCUAGUACGGUACUGACGCUGAGACGCGAAAGCGUGGGGAGCGAACAGG
RNAcentral lists this ribosomal RNA (253 nucleotides) under uncultured bacterium. RNAcentral's name for it is "partial 16S ribosomal RNA". It matches the Rfam family "Bacterial small subunit ribosomal RNA", at positions 524 to 776 of the family's 1533-position model. The record is from RNAcentral.